Molecule: ribosomal RNA, 497 nt
Filed under: uncultured bacterium
Lineage: Bacteria
Description: partial 16S ribosomal RNA
Rfam family: Bacterial small subunit ribosomal RNA
Source: RNAcentral
GAUGAACGCUGGCGGCGUGCCUAAUACAUGCAAGUCGAGCGAACAGACGAGGAGCUUGCUCCUCUGACGUUAGCGGCGGACGGGUGAGUAACACGUGGAUAACCUACCUAUAAGACUGGGAUAACUUCGGGAAACCGGAGCUAAUACCGGAUAAUAUAUUGAACCGCAUGGUUCAAUAGUGAAAGACGGUUUUGCUGUCACUUAUAGAUGGAUCCGCGCCGCAUUAGCUAGUUGGUAAGGUAACGGCUUACCAAGGCAACGAUGCGUAGCCGACCUGCGAGGGUGAUCGGCCACACUGGAACUGAGACACGGUCCAGACUCCUACGGGAGGCAGCAGUAGGGAAUCUUCCGCAAUGGGCGAAAGCCUGACGGAGCAACGCCGCGUGAGUGAUGAAGGUCUUCGGAUCGUAAAGCUCUGUUAUUAGGGAAGAACAAAUGUGUAAGUAACUAUGCACGUCUUGACGGUACCUAAUCAGAAAGCCACGGCUAACUACGUG